CACAGAUGACUGAGUAGUACCGAGUAUACAGUGUCUAGCACGUCAUAAUAUGCGGUUGUCUACCUGCCGCCAUAUUAUUAUGUAUUAUGCUUCGUAUCUCUAAACUAAAGUUUUUGGACCGUUUAUCAGACUUAUUCCGUCGUUGUUGUUGUCCUUGUCUGUAGAACUUUAUCUCGUACCAAAAAAAAUCCUCCAAACAGUAUACAGUGAACGUUGUAAUUUUUUUUUCGUUAAUUGUACGUCACGAUACACUCGAGUCGUGUGAACUGUGAAAUUGAAAAAAGCUCAAUGACCUAGUUCAUCAACCUUGUCGACGACGCGUUAUCUGUUUUCGUGUGUGUUUCUGUAUCGUGCACCCCGCCCACCCUUUCCCGUGUAUUGGACAACAAUAUCUGGACGCUGACUCAAUCUCAACGAUCUGCAGUAUUUACGUUUGCUGUUGGAGGCAUUCGUUAUUCGUUUACUGGUUCUUCUCGGUCGAUCACUAUGGACUGCACCGAACGAGGUAAGACGUUUUGUGUCGUGCGACAUGAAUAUUUAUGACUAAAUAGUGGAAAGUCGUGAUACUAAAUCAUGACCUAUGUUAAUGUCUGAAGUUAUAACGAAAGUACGAAGGUAUUUUCACAUUGUCAACAAUGUCUAUGUUAAAAAGGAAAUGGAGGGAUCUAUUGAAUCCACAAUUUAUUGUAUGGUUGACAUAUAUUCCAACAUACCUGGUCAUUAAUCGCUAAUAUUCCGUGUAUUCCUCGACAAGCUAGAUUAUCAGUUAAAUGGAUUUCGAUGUUCCUCAUCAAAUUCGAUUAAUCUGAUUACUAAUCAGAUUGCUUCUCGAUGUAUCGGAUCAUCAAUUUCUUCAAUGAACAUAUAUUUUAUCGAUAAUAGAAUAUCUUAUAAUCAAUUAUACCAAUUACCAAAUAGGUAAUAUUCAUAGUAAUUAAUUUACACAGUCAGAUAUACCUAGACAAAGAGUUAUUAAUAAGUACAAGUAGUAACUUAUAUAAUGCUUAACUGAGGUCAGGUAUAUUUAAAUCUAAUUUGCAAUACAAUUAUAAUAUUUUGUCAAAAAGGUAAGUAAUUACCUAUUAGUAACUAUCUAAAUUUUGUAAGCACCUGUUUCCAAAUUUCUACCAUAGGUCUACGUACAAGGCU
Cinara cedri is the source of this 1149-nucleotide non-coding RNA. The record is from the annotation of a GenBank genome assembly. NCBI's taxonomy places the organism in Eukaryota, Metazoa, Arthropoda, Insecta, Hemiptera, Aphididae.